RNAcentral lists this long non-coding RNA (4351 nucleotides) under Nicotiana benthamiana. RNAcentral's name for it is "long non-coding RNA (NBEN_LNC027862)". The record is from RNAcentral. Lineage: Eukaryota; Viridiplantae; Streptophyta; Magnoliopsida; Solanales; Solanaceae.
AUCUGAGUCUGGCUUCCCACAUCUGAAACCAUGUGCACCUUCUCCAAAACGUUAUCAUUCCUAAGCUUUUACUAUAAGGGGUAUAAUUUUUCAUAAGUUACAAUGACACUAUUAACUACUACUGAAAGCAAAUUAGUAAGUAGUACUUGUCCAAAUUGACCAUUGAAUUCACCAAUAAUCGAAGAAAGAACUUUUUUGCAGGUUAAAAAAUAAUUCCACAAGACACAACCACCUGUUGAUUUAUCAUUGACUAAAAUGUGACUUCUAACACUUCAACAAUCUUCAUUAAUAUUUAAGAUUUACAGGCCAAGGCCAUUAUACCGAAAAGAUCUCCCUUUCGUACCACAAUGGCAGAAAAAUCAAAAGCCAAAAUCCAACACUCCAAAAUACAUGAACUCUCCAUAAACAAACCUAGCAGUAGUCAUAAAGACCAAUAUCAUCACUAACAACUACAAAUAAAUCCUGAGAAUUGCAGAAGCUUUAAACUUCAACCUAAUUGUCAAUGCUAAACAAAAUCCAGUAGGGAGAGCAAAGUUCAAAUCUCAACAUUUUGUUGGGAACCUACUAUACAAUUGUCAACUAUUUUGACACCCUUUUUCAUUUGAGAUAAUCAGCUGCAGCUCUAGCUUCCAUCUUCAUAGGCAUUGGUGCCGAAGGCAAGAAACUCUCACUUUCAUUCUCAUUGUCAUCCUUAUCUCUAACAUUCCUGGCAUUAUAACCAUUAUCUUUUCUUGAAAAGUAUUAAUUAUCACUACUUCCACAAUACUGGCCUCUAUCUUCCUCCUCGUCAACUUCAAUGUCACCUUGGAUAAAGUUCCAAAUUUUCAACUCUUCUGCUAAGGUUUUCCAUCAGCUCUAUCUCUACAUCAAAUGAAUCUUGCCCAUUCACAUUCUCUACAAAGCUCGUAGAUUUCUUUUGUUUUUGUUUAAGACAUGGUUGAUGCUAUUUUUGAAAAAUAGCUUAUGUGGCAAAAAGAUGGAUAGAAGUAUAAAAUUUGGCUAAGACCCCGCAAAGCCAAGAAUCUAACACAUAUGUGACUUGCCUACAUAUCACACCCUGAAAGAAGAGAAUCAAGUUUGUAUAGUUCGUGCAGAUUGGAUACGGGCGAGAAUUAAAAUAAUAACUAAUUUAGAAAAAACACAUCUUUUGUCUUUUGUUUUGAAAAAUGAUGAAUCAUGCAAAAUAUUUUUGGAUUUUCCUUUUUCCCUUUUUUUUAAUCUUUGAUUUUCGGAAAAAGAUCAAAAGGUGAAAUGUUUUAGAAUUUUUCAAGCUCUAUUUUUUUCCUUAACAAAAUGUGACAGAAAACGUAAUUUGGCCCAAUUUGCAUUAUCUUCACACUUCACUCUCUCUUUUUUUCUUCCUUUUUUCUUUAUUUUUUUAUUUUUUCAUUUACCCACCAGCUAUCAUUAGUCCAUCAAAUGACCCUUUUGCCGUUGAAUACAUGCAACAUGUAGCCUAUAAGAUGCAUCCGGAUGGUCUUCUUUUUUGUGUACCUGUUCUAGACGGACCCAACCCCUGCGUUGAGUCCCACAAAAUGCAGAUGAAGCAAACAUACGUUCCUACUAGGGAUCCGGCAUGAGGCGGAGUUAUUCUAUGCGCAAAACCUGUGUAUGUGUUCUAGACUGCAUACUCGAGCGGACAACUCGAGCCGAGGAGUGGGCUACGUACCGGGAAUUAUAAGACCAUCCACCUUAGUAACUUGUCAGAGCCUCUUUCUUAUUUUAAUGUAUGAAACUAAUAGAAUAAAGAGUCUCGACCAGCGAGUACAUCCCCGAAUAGGGAACAGAAAGGUUUCUUAGCAAUUUAUAUAUACAGUUCAGGUAAUAUCAAUGCGAUAAAAAAAGCAACAUUUAGCACAUCAGUCUCAAACGUGUAAUAAAAUCAGAUAUUAAACAAAGUCAAAUACAAAAAUUAUUCCAAGCUCAAAUUCUUGAACCUUGAACCAGAGAUUUUGGGUUCGGUCCCUAGCUGAGUCACCAGAACUGUCACACCUCCUUUUUUACACUGCACUCUCUGAAGGGCGUAGAAAAGGGAGUCUUUCCAAUUACAGGACAAUCGAAACGAGAUUUAUUUAUUGAAAGAUUCAGAUUAGCCAAUUGGGACGAUUAAUGGUGUCCCAAGUCACCGGUUUAAAAUGUCGAAUCGAGGAAGGGGUUGACUCUGUAUUACAGUCCACGAACUAGAAAUCCAGGUAAGAAAUUUUGUUAACCCGGAGAAGGUGUUAGGCACUCAAGAAUUUUGUGAUUCUAGCACGGUCACUCAAUAAUUAUUAUUGGCAUAAUUAUCUAAUUUUAAAACAAAUUUUAACCUAAGUGCAUUUUUUAAAACUUCAACCGCUUUAUUCAUUUUAGGAAUAUUGCAACAUUGUCAAAACAUCUUGUACUAUGUCACAUAAAUGCACAUGCGGUCUUCGACAUAUUUUAACAUUGUUGGGAUUUCGAUUUUGGUCACAUAAAUGCGCAACCGGGUUUAGGAAGGUAAAUUAUUGAAAUAACACAUCUAAAGCAACUAUAAGUUAGCAAUUUUAUGAGGGCCAUAAAAAUUUGCUAAAUGACGCGCCUCGUAUUUUGAGGAUUAAACAAAAUUAAUUAAAAUGAGGCCCUGCUUUAUGAGAUUUUAUUUGAUAUGGCACACCUCGAUUCUAAUUUCAAAGGAUUGUACUCAACUAAAGUAAUCUACGGAAUUUAUGAACUAUUUAAUACCUAAGUUCGAGAUCAAUCACGAAUAUUCAAACAUUAUGGAAAGGGUUUUUGAUGGUCAAUUAAUUAGCCAAAUCAAACUGGGCUUACUAAUAAAAAUGAAAAGGGUACCAAUCUAGCAAUUCUAAAUUUAAAUCAAAUCUUCGCCAAAUUUUUCGAGUUCUUCUGUAUUUUAAUUAGUGACUGCAGAAUCCCAAAAUGAAUAUUUACUCAAAGGUUAAAUUCAACAACUAAUCAAUAAACAAAAUAUUUAUGUCAUGUGCUAAGCUAGAAAAAACAAAUAAUUAAAUCGUUCAAUCAAUAAUUUAACUAAAAAAUACUUGAAUAAUCACAACUUGAGACAAUGAUAACCAUAAGACAAUAUCACAAUGAUAUUCUGAAAAAAUAAUUUUUCUAAAUCACGUUCCUUCUUUGAGGCACUACAGCAAAUAGUUAUUCUAGCAAAUGUGGCUAAUGGAUUUCGAUUCCACUCAUGCCAAACCCUAUAGCUAGCCAUAGAAAUCUGAUCAAUCCCUUUUUAAAGCUAUUGUAUUAAGAUGAGAUAAGAACAAAACAACCUUUUGUAGAUGCAUCUGAGCUUUGAUUCCUUAAAAGAAUUUGAAGUUAAAACACAAAAAAAAUGCGUACUAGACCUCAGCGGAAACUCUACCACACGACCUCGAACUCGGCUACAACGGACACCUCGAAUCGAUUCAUUGACUCUGAACUGGGAUGCUCGAGUUCAAAACGAAAUCAAGCUGCUUGCCUCCCUGAAUUCCGAUUGAGGAUGAACUGAAGCUUUGUGUAAGAAGUAGUUCCACAAUCCCUUUUUAUCAAUUCAACAUCAAUGACCCAGUAGCACAGAAAAAUUGAUAAAUGGAAUAAAAUCACACAUGAAAGCAUGCUAACGGAGAAGUGGGGAUCUGUAAACAACAUUUAUAAAGCUAUUGUAUUGAGAUGAGAUAAGAACAAAAGAACCUUUUAUAGAUGCAUCUGAGCUUCGAUUCCUUGAAAAAUUUAGAAGUUAAAACACCAACAAAAUGCGUACAAGACCUCACUAGAAACUCUACCACACCAACUCGAACUUGGCUACGACGGACACCUCGAAUCGAUUCGUUGACUCUGAACUGGGGUGCUCGACUUCAAAAUAAAAUCGAGCGGCUUGCCUCCCUGAAUUCCGAUUGAAGAUGAAUUGAAGCUUUGUGUAACAAGUUGUUCCUAAAUUCAGAUAAUCGAAUGGUAACUGACAGGUUAUGGGGGUUAAUUUUCACCGGCUUUAGGCAAAUCUCGUUGCCGAUGGAGAUGUGACUAGAAAAACGAGGGGGAGAGGAAUUUGAAGAUCAAGGAGGCAGCUGUGUUUGAUUUUUCCGCCUUGUGAUUGUGCGCGUGUUAGUGACGGAGCAGAAUGGGCCGGUUUCGAUGGGGAAGGUCAUGUGUGGGCUGGUUUCCGGUGUGUCCGCUGAAGGGGGUGGUGUGAAGGAGAUGGGUUUCAAGUGGGGUAGGUUCUGUUGCAAAGCUUCUCCCGUCCACCCUUUUUUAGUCGUCUCCUCUUUUUCUUAUAUCUAUAGGUCUAGGGUUUUUUUAAUUAAGAUAAGGAUAAAGGGAAUGAGCUUGGGUUGUGUGGGUUUGGGUAGAGAAAUUGUGGUUUGGACUGGUUCUGGCUUUUAAAAUG